Molecule: small nucleolar RNA, 107 nt
Filed under: Gossypium hirsutum (cotton)
Lineage: Eukaryota; Viridiplantae; Streptophyta; Magnoliopsida; Malvales; Malvaceae
Description: Plant small nucleolar RNA R71
Rfam family: Plant small nucleolar RNA R71
About the family: R71 is a member of the C/D box family of snoRNAs containing the C (UGAUGA) and D (CUGA) box motifs. Multiple nearly identical copies of this snoRNA have been identified in Arabidopsis, and it is thought to function as a 2'-O-ribose methylation guide for 18S ribosomal RNA.
Source: Rfam by way of RNAcentral
AAACCAUGAUAAGGACACUUGCUCAACAUUAACUUAAAGUACUUCCAUGCCUCAUAUAAUUACUCUUUUUCCAAUUGCCAAAGAUUCGUAAUAUCCUUACAGAGUUU